UUAUAUUUAAUGCAUACAAUCUGCGAUGUACUCUUUUCUGUCCCCCGCCUAGACUAAAGAGUUUGUCUCAUUUGGCUUCCUCAAAAAUAACCCCCACGCCACUGUUCAUCAUAAGAAAUCACCAUAGCGGACAUGAGGCUCAGAGAAAGCACCACCCUCCUUUGUUCUGUUUGAUGGAAAUGUUCUCCGGAGGACUUCUCCUGAUUUUAGUGAUGACGUCAUCUGCUGCCCAGAAAGUCAAGCAGAACCUGACCUCCACUGUGGGAGGAGAGGUCACCAUACCUGGGCCUGUCAAGAGUCUUGGAUAUCUUCUGAAUCAAGAAGGCGUAAUCGCUAGAGUGAAAGAUAGUGUGUUGGAGACAGAAAAUGAGGAUUUCCUGAACAGAACUUCCUGGGACCGAGCCACUGGGCUGUUCACUAUAAGAAGACUGCAGAGCAAGGAUUCAGGGGAUUAUUCUGUUAAUGCUAACAAAAUUCUUGUAUCAUUCAAGCUGAAUGUUUAUGACGCCGUCCUGGAGCCCGGUGUCACCGUAACGUCUGUGAGCAGCGAGGGCUGCACCCUGCUGUGUGCUGUGGACCAACUGAGCGGAGGGACUCUCUCCUGGUAUCAAGGAGAGGACCUGGUGGACCAGAGCAGCACCCAGCGCUCUCUCCCUCUGACCGUGGACAGGCUGGGUCUCCGGUCCUCCUACCGCUGUGUGUCUGCCAACCCUGCUGGUAACCUCACCCGGUCAGUCGACGCUAAGACGUCCUGCCCAGUAGAACAACUCACUGGUGACGAAGUUGAAGCAAAGUCUAACAGGCUGGUCUGGAUUGUGAUUCCGAUCAUCUGUGGUAUUACAUUCAUCCUAUUCUUAUCUGUCAUCAUAUUCUAUGUGGAAAGACAUCUCCAAGGCAAGGCAUUUUUUCUUACAAUUGUUUUUGUUGGAUAAUGACAAUGGUCUGGAGGCUUAACAUAUCAUUGAGGCUAGAUGUUUCCUGUGAGAGAUGAAUCCGAUGUUGAAUAGCAGCUUGUCCCCAGGGUUAGCCGCAGCCGAGCGGACCAGCUGUCCUCGGUACGGGGGCGGUCUCCUGUUAUCGUUCUCCCUGCUGUGCUGCAGGUUGCACCAGCUACCUCAUAGCAAUCAUUUAUCAAUAAUGCAUUAGUCUGGCAUUACAAGCCACACUCAUUGUUAUACUGAUUUCUGUCUGUUUAGUUUCUUCCGUCGUAUUUUCUUCCUUACUCCUUCUACAGUUGUUGUGUGUCUACUUUAUAGAGUGAAUAUUGUUUUUUAUUUUAUCAAUUUAUAUAAUAUUAUUUAUUAUCUAUCACUCUUUACUUCUAUCACUAUCUGCCAAUAUAUCUCUAUAUCUAGAUCUCUAUAGAUAUGUAAGUAAUCAAAAUAAGCAUUAAAAAGAUGAAGAAGAUUGCAUAUCAUAGAACCAAGUUCUUGGCACUUCCAGCAGCCUGAAGGGAAACUGUCUCUCACCUCAUUCUAAAAUCUGAGUUUACUGCUUGAUGCGUGUGAAAACAUAGUGAUCGGGAACUCCCACUCUCUGUCCCUGUAAAGGUGGCAGAAACGUUUCUGUCCCCAGUGGUUUGAUGUGGAAAAAUGACGUUAAUUGUCCGCAAUCUUUUCACACUGACUGUGUUUUUUCCCCAACGCACACAUGAAGCAGCAGUCUCUCAUGGUAGAAACAGCCAUGGUGUCUGAGCUUCCCCUUAUGGAUAUUCAAUAGAUUGAGUGUCCACAUGCUUCCCAUGGCGGUGUAGGCAGCAGGAAGAUAAAUGAAUGUGGAAAUCCUCUCUGUACAGCAGACCCUUCUACUGCAUGACUUAUAGUGGUGCUGUUUUAUUCAUUAAUGUUGGCCUUCUGUUUGUAGCUUCAAUCCAACAGAAGGGUGGCUUCACACAGCAGGAGGAGCCUGAACACGGCCGCUGCAACACGCACGUCAGAUACAACGAGAUACAAGCCAAAGAGAACUGAAGGAAUAAACGCUCUUGGAUCAAACCAUCGUAGCCGCCUCUCCUGGGGUCAGAAACAUUUGGCAGGAUGACUCUGUUUGCAUUUAGUGUGCACCCCCCGGCACGAAUAUAACAACAGCACAAAUUUAGCAAUAUAGCACUUGAGUCUUUUGGAACCAAGUGAUCAAUGUGCUUCAGCCCAUAUGGACCCAUAUAAUGAAUCACCCUACAAUGACAGUGAUCUCCCUGCAAGUUCAGUGAAUCACCCUACCAGUAGAGUAGGGUACAUUUGAACAUUGGCUUCCUGUUGGUCAGAGAAUUGAUUUUAAAAUCAUGUUGGUCACCUAUGGAUCCCUACAUGUUUUGGGGCCAAAGUAUUUAACUGAUAUGAUUCCACAACAUAAGCAUUCUAGACCACUAAGAUCUUCUGAGACCAUUCUGUUAAUUAUCCCCAGAGUAUACAAAAAACAUAGGAAAGCAGGAUUUAGUUAUGCAACAAAUAGCUGGAAUAAACUCCCUGAGGAUUUAAGACUUGCCCCGACUCUGACCACUUUUAAAACAAGACUGAAGACUUUAAUGUUUGCUUUAGCUUUCUGCUCAUCUUAAAUACAUUGCACUUUCAAAAUAAAAAUAAAAAGGCCUUUUUAGCUUUACAUUUAUUUUCUAUUUUUACCAGAGAGAUACAUGAUCUGAGAAAGGAUAAGGGUUUGAGACCCGAGUUUUGUCUGGGUUAGAGUCCUAGAAUCCGGGUUGGAGUCCCAGAAUCUGGGUUGGAAACCCAGAGAAAGACCCAGAGAAAGGACCAAGUUCCUUUAGGUCGGGUCGGAGUACCAGACAGAAUGUUGAUCUGAUCUUAAACACAUUGCACUUUCUAAAAUGCUUUUUUA
RNA transcript from Gadus macrocephalus (Pacific cod), 2832 nucleotides. RefSeq lists it as uncharacterized. Lineage: Eukaryota; Metazoa; Chordata; Actinopteri; Gadiformes; Gadidae. The record is from RefSeq and is a predicted model, not a curated record. The transcript is spliced from 5 exons.